GGGGCCCGGGGGUGGGGGUGGGAGCAGUGUUUCUCGAAGGAAGCCAGUCCCGGCAGCUUGGGGGCUCCCAGCAGCCCUGUGAAGGGAAGAAGAGAGAAAGGGUGCCCGGUAGCGGCGCCUGGGAAGCACUCUCUCCGUCCUCCCAACGCACUUAGGGAGGAAGAGGUCAAGCCCCCGAUGAGCAACAGUACGCCUGAGACAGAGGACUCGGAAGGGGAAGGGCUUGCUCCGGCUGCGGUUUUGGUGGUGCCAGCUCACAAUUGGACAGGACCCUUGCUCCUAGGCCCCGGGACCCCAGGUGACCCUGGCAGGGGGCGUGUGGUGGACCAAACAGGAAGUGAAAGAGGAAGAGGAGGCUCUGGGGUCCGCAGGCCCCAUCAGCACACGAAUUCAGUGUCCUAGAGAGCGCCGAAUGGGACCCAGGCCCUAAAGGCUCCGGCAGCUCCCGUGGCGCUGCCCUGGAGACAACGCCUCUAAAGCGUGGACCUUUGGACCAAACCGCGGUGGGCUCAGAGAGGGCGGUGAUUCGCCUGAGGUCACACAGCUGGAGUCAGAUUUCCAGUUCACUCCGGCCUGCAAUCCUGUCUGCAUCCCCUGCCGCCUCCCCAACGCCCCCACCAACCAUAGCGCACUCACCCGCAUCCUGUCCCUGCCUGUGUCCCUGUUCCUGCGUCACCGCUGCCAUCGCUGAUUAACUUUCUGUUUGCCUGCGUUAUCUGGACCAGGGCUCUGCCUUUCCAAAGAGCUCACACGUAAACGGAGAAGCAAAUAGUUAUCUAGGGUGGUGACAGACAUUGCUGAGAAGAAAAUGGAGCAGGACAAUGGAGUGGAGAGUGAUACAGAGAGGAAAAGAGAAAUGCAGGAGCAAAGUCAACUGGUUGCCAUGGAGACAAUAAUCCCCCCUCCCACCUCAAUUUUUUUUACUACCUGGCCCUUGGCGUGAAAAGUGGGCCAAACCCUGUAAACCAAGAUGAGGAGCCGAGGUUCAGAGAGGCUGAGGGACUCGCUCCUGUGAAUUCAGCAAGCAAGGACAGGCCUGGGGUUUGAACCUGGAACCUCAGACUUCUAGGUAGGUGCUUUUUUGUGCCCCAAAUGUCACCCUUGCUUUCUUCCAGGCUCCCUUCCCACGAGGUCCCCCAGUGCUCACCGGGGCUUCUCCAGUGACAGCCGAGGACUACCGGGGUCAGGCAUGGCUGCUUUAAGGGACACUGCGCCAGAAAAAGGGAGUGAGGUGGAAGAAUUCCUUUUCUUCCUUUGCGUUGUUGAAGAGUGAAAGCACAGGUCUCAUUUUCUAUGCAAGUCCACCAGAACCAGUGGUGCUGACAAGGAGCUGACCCUUCACGGCCAUGCUGGGUCCAGUUCCCUCCAAGGGACCAUCGCCAUCCUGGCAAGGCUCGGGGGCUGGGAUGGGGAGGCCCUGCUCCGGGUCCCUGGGAGACAGACUCCUUCCCACACCCACACCCAGACUCCUCCUCCGAUACCUCCCUCACCGCAUCCCCAUUGCGGGUCCCUGGGGCCCAGCAACUUUGGGGGCUGCUUCCUCUUGCCUGGCCCUGGCAGCUUUAUUUCAAACUGAGGCGCGAUUACAGAUCCAGUUCUUUUUUCCUUUUUCUUUUCAAUAAAGCUGUUUUGUGUCUCCACCGCCCCCCUCUGCUGCAUUCCUCCCAUCUGAGUCGUCCCCUUGCCCCUCCUGUAGGAAAUGUCUCGGAUUCUCUCACUGGGGUGUAAUGGUUAAAUUGCUACCAGCUGAUUAAACAGCAGCAGCGAAGAAACUGUAAUCCUCAGCCUGGGGAACCUGGGAAGGCAGGGAAUGAAGACCAGAUGACAAAGAGGCGCCCCUGCCCUGGCCCUUCCUCCUGGGAAAUCUUUCCCACACCUGCCCCCCACUCAGGAAGGAGCGGAAAGACAGGAGCAAGAGAUCAGAGAGGGCUCUCUUGGAAGACGGAAAAGGCAGGCUUGGGGUUUUCUCCACCCAACCGAAACGAGAUCAUGAAGUCAGUGCUGACUUUCUUGGAGCCUCUCUGAGCCUCGUUUGUAGGUAGGGACAGUGGCCUUGCAAGGGGGCCACAAGGAUCGAGGGUCUAAUGCACCUCAGAGCACCCACCCGACCCUGAGUUAUGAGAAUGAACUGCUGAGAUUGGGGUGCAACGCAACCGAAAUAGCCUCCCAACAAGGGCCACCGGAAAAGCCAUGUGCCUCUGGGCUGCUUGCUGGACUCUCCGAUCCUUACCUCUUCACCUGCAAAUUGGCCUGGGACAGCUGGGGGAGCCCCCGGGUGUUCCAGAGUCAAUGGGUACCAGGAUCCCACCAGAGAGUAGCUCUGUCCCCUGUCAGCUCAGGCUGUGGGCUAAGAAUAGCAGGGCAACCAGCCUCCUUGGGAAAGUUUAUUUCUGUGGAAAGUCUAGUUCAGUCGAGUGGAGAAUCUGGCCUUGAUUUCCCCCCCACGCCCCCCACACCCCGCUCAGAAACCAGACAGACGUGUGCCCGGAUGAAGGAGGAACUGAUGCACGGCGUGGGAGAAGUGGCCACCCGUCUCGGCAGCGACCUUUCUCUUUCCACUGGGGAGAAAAGGCCACCACGUGGGAGACGAGAAGGCAGAGGGUCUGGCCACCAAGGGCUGCAGGUCAGGCUUGUUUCUGGGGGGAACCUAGUGGUGCCCCCCAGUCUACAACCUUAGGAGUGACCUUAUUUAGGGUUACGGUCUCUGAAGACGUAAUUAAGGCAAGAAUAGAGAUAAGAUCACACUGAGUUAAGAUUUGCCCUACAUUCACAGGAGUGUCCUCACAGAAGACAGGAAUGGAAGGACAAACAUCAGAUGCAGGGAUGGAGCGAAGCUGCGGAAGCAGCUCCAGGAACCUCCGGAAGUUGAAAGAGGCAAAGACUACUUCUCCUCCAGAGAUUUUUGCAGUAAUUUCUUAGAGCAGCCUCAGGAAACCAAUACGCCUUGCAAAAGCCAUGAUGCCAUUUUGCAGAUGGGGCAGCUGAGGCACAAGGAAGAAAAGCCCUCUGUCUAAAAAAAAAUUAAGACGUGUUAUGUACAUGCCACCAACUCCCCAUGAUAAAAACAAGUGUUACGUGCUGCAAACAUGCACAUACUGAUACAAAAUAAAAGCGGGCAGUUGGGAGUGAAGGCAGGAUUCCAACUCGGGUCUGUCUGAACCUCGUAUGGCCAAGGCCACCCUUCGAGAAGGGGCAUUUCUGUAGGAGAGAAGUUCCAGCAAAGAGCCAGGGAGGCUGAGGUGAGAUCUGCUGCCAGCAUGCUCUCCUAGGCUGUGUGUCCAUGGGGGUCCCACCAGCACCCCACCCAGCCCCAGCUCCAUCCACCCCCAAGCCUCCUCUCUCCAGAGCUGAGAAGUGCCAUGGGAACUCAAGGGACAAGGGACAAAGCAGCUCUGCUCACAGCUGGACCAGAACCAUCUUCCUCUACGGAAGCUGCCUGACCUCAGGGUGGGCAAAGAGGUACUGACCCUGCCCUGCGGCCCAUGGCUGAGUGUUUACCUAGAAGUGGGGGCAGGCAGGCACCCAGGCAAUAGCAUUUAAGGAGGUUCUGGCUCUCAAGGUCCUGCAAAUGCCAACUUUGGGCUUGUGUGGAUAUGCAAAUGAGUGCUUCCUUAAAAGCUUCCUGCCCUAUUCCUGCCCUUACCUAGGGUUGAUUUAUAGAGGACCAAAAGACCUGGGGGUGGGGCAUUGGCAGCUGUUGGUCUUCAGAGUCUCACAGACAGGGGUUCAAAUCCUGAUUUUAGCCACUUAGUACCUGAGUGACCGUGGAUGGGUCUGUUCCUAUGCAUGGACUCAAUUUUCUCAUCUA
This is a non-coding RNA of Heterocephalus glaber (naked mole-rat), 3808 nucleotides long. Lineage: Eukaryota; Metazoa; Chordata; Mammalia; Rodentia; Bathyergidae. The record is from RefSeq and is a predicted model, not a curated record.